CCUACGGGUGGCAGCAGUGAGGAAUAUUGGUCAAUGGACGCGAGUCUGAACCAGCCAAGUCGUGUGAAGGAUGACUGCCCUCUGGGUUGUAGACUUCUUUUAUAUGGGAAUAAACUGUUCCACGUGUGGGAUUUUGUAUGUACCAUAUGAAUAAGGAUCGGCUAACUCCGUGCCAGCAGCCGCGGUAAUACGGAGGAUCCGAGCGUUAUCCGGAUUUAUUGGGUUUAAAGGGAGCGUAGGUGGACUGUUAAGUCAGUUGUGAAAGUGUGCGGCUCAACCGUAAAAUUGCAGUUGAAACUGGCAGUCUUGAGUACAGUAGAGGUGGGCGGAAUUCGUGGUGUAGCGGUGAAAUGCGUAGAUAUCACGAAGAACUCCGAUGGCGAAGGCAGUUCACUGGACUGCAACUGACACUGAGGCUCGAAAGUGUGGGGAGCAAACAGGAUUAGAUACCCGUGUAGUC
This 460-nucleotide ribosomal RNA is filed under the name uncultured bacterium. RNAcentral's name for it is "partial 16S ribosomal RNA". It matches the Rfam family "Bacterial small subunit ribosomal RNA", at positions 338 to 795 of the family's 1533-position model. The record is from RNAcentral.